AGAGUUUGAUUCUGGCUCAGAGUGAACGCUGGCGGCGUGCCUAACACAUGCAAGUCGAGCGAAGUGGCAGCUGUAGCAAUACAGUAUGUGCUUAGCGGCAGACGGGUGAGUAACACGUAGACAACUUACCUCUUAGAGGGGGAUAGCCCGCCGAAAGGCGGGGUAAUACCGCGUAAGAUCAAUAUCCGGCAUCGGAUUUUGAUGAAAGCAUCCGCAAGGAUGGCUAAGAGAAAGGUCUGCGGCCUAUCAGCUAGUUGGUGAGGUAAUGGCUCACCAAGGCAACGACGGGUAUCCGACCUGAAAGGGUGACCGGACACACUGACACUGAGACACGGGUCAGACUCCUACGGGAGGCAGCAGUGAGGAAUUUUGGACAAUGGGGGCAACCCUGAUCCAGCGACGCCGCGUGAGGGAUGAAGGUCUUCGGAUUGUAAACCUCUUUUAUUCGGGAAUAAGAAAUCUGUAGAAAUGCGGAGAGUGAAUGUACCGGAUGAAUAAGCCACGGCUAACUUCGUGCCAGCAGCCGCGGUAAUACGAAGGUGGCAAGCGUUACUCGGAAUUACUAGGCGUAAAGGGCAGGUAGGUGGUUUGAUAAGUCUGUUGUGAAAGCUCCCGGCUUAACUGGGAGAGGUCAACGGAAACUAUCAGGCUUGAGUAUAGGAGAGGGUACUGGAAUUCCCGGUGUAGCGGUGAAAUGCGCAGAGAUCGGGAGGAACACCAAUGGCGAAAGCAGGUACCUGGACUAUUACUGACACUCAGCUGCGAAAGCUAGGGGAGCAAACAGGAUUAGAUACCCUGGUAGUCCUAGCCGUAAACGAUGCACAUUAGGCGUGAGGGGUAUCGACCCCCUUCGUGCCGACGCAAACGCAUUAAAUGUGCCGCCUGGGGAGUACGGCCGCAAGGUUGAAACUCAAAUGAAUUGACGG
Molecule: ribosomal RNA, 926 nt
Filed under: uncultured bacterium
Lineage: Bacteria
Description: bacterial SSU rRNA
Rfam family: Bacterial small subunit ribosomal RNA
Source: RNAcentral